This 45-nucleotide non-coding RNA is filed under the name Schistosoma haematobium. The record is from RNAcentral. Lineage: Eukaryota; Metazoa; Platyhelminthes; Trematoda; Strigeidida; Schistosomatidae.
CUCCAGCUGACAAGUCCCAGAUAGGACGAAACAUGCGUCCUAGAU